GGAAUCUCCUGGUGGUUCUACUCUGAACAGAGAAGGGUUUGAAACCAUUAAGCAGCAUUUCACAAACUGAUGCAACCAAAAACAAGAGACUGAGAAGCAAGAAGGUGAUUAAUCAUCUAGUUUAGGAUGGAGGUUCCAUCUUGAAGUUGAAAUAUGUUGGCAUAUUCGGCUCAGAAAGGAACACAAACAUGAAGAGAAUCAGUGAUACACCAGAACUUGAGACAUGACUUUCAAACUUCUGACUUCUACUGCUUCUUGGCUGUAACCCUGGACACAUUUCCUAACUUCCUAUGUAUUAAUUGCUUUAUUUGAAAACAGAGAUUGUAGUCCUUGCCUUUCAGAGCAUGAGUUCUUAUCCUUGGAAAUGUUACUGUUAAAGUUCAACUCCACAGAGGGUUGACACCAUCAAUUGUGUAUGAAAGCUAUAUAAUGAAUGAACACCAGCUGCC
Heterocephalus glaber (naked mole-rat) is the source of this 449-nucleotide long non-coding RNA. NCBI's taxonomy places the organism in Eukaryota, Metazoa, Chordata, Mammalia, Rodentia, Bathyergidae. The record is from Ensembl.